This 73-nucleotide transfer RNA is filed under the name Neophoca cinerea (Australian sea lion). RNAcentral describes it as "transfer RNA-Phe". The record is from RNAcentral. Lineage: Eukaryota; Metazoa; Chordata; Mammalia; Carnivora; Otariidae.
GUUAAUGUAGCUUAACUAAACUAUAAAGCAAGGCACUGAAAAUGCCUAGAUGAGUCAUAAGACUCCAUAAACA